Molecule: ribosomal RNA, 675 nt
Filed under: uncultured Vibrionaceae bacterium
Lineage: Bacteria; Pseudomonadati; Pseudomonadota; Gammaproteobacteria; Vibrionales; Vibrionaceae
Description: bacterial SSU rRNA
Rfam family: Bacterial small subunit ribosomal RNA
Source: RNAcentral
UAGAGUUUGAUCAUGGCUCAGAUUGAACGCUGGCGGCAGGCCUAACACAUGCAAGUCGAGCGGUAACAGAAAGUAGCUUGCUACUUUGCUGACGAGCGGCGGACGGGUGAGUAAUGCCUGGGAAUAUGCCUUGAUGUGGGGGAUAACUAUUGGAAACGAUAGCUAAUACCACAUAGUGUCUUCGGACCAAAGAGGGGGAUCUUCGGACCUCUCGCGUCAAGAUUAGCCCAGGUGAGAUUAGCUAGUUGGUGGGGUAAGAGCUCACCAAGGCGACGAUCUCUAGCUGGUCUGAGAGGAUGAUCAGCCACACUGGAACUGAGACACGGUCCAGACUCCUACGGGAGGCAGCAGUGGGGAAUAUUGCACAAUGGGCGAAAGCCUGAUGCAGCCAUGCCGCGUGUAUGAAGAAGGCCUUCGGGUUGUAAAGUACUUUCAGUCGUGAGGAAGGGAGUGUAGUUAAUAGCUGCAUAUCUUGACGUUAGCAACAGAAGAAGCACCUGCUAACUCCGUGCCAGCAGCCGCGGUAAUACGGAGGGUGCGAGCGUUAAUCGGAAUUACUGGGCGUAAAGCGCAUGCAGGUGGUUCAUUAAGUCAGAUGUGAAAGCCCGGGGCUCAACCUCGGAACUGCAUUUGAAACUGGUGAACUAGAGUGCUGUAGAGGGGGGUAGAAUUUCA